GCAGAUGAAGAGGAGCCUGCCACUGACCUGCUGAAAUUCCACUCUGGCUCUUUGUGUAGUGUUUGCUCAAUCUGUGAGCACUGCUCUAAUAACUGUGACAAAUGUCCCUGUGAAGAUGAGUCGGAUCACUGUGAGCACUGCCAAGAAUGCUCAUCCUGCUACAUUUGCCCCAUACUGUGUGACACAAUUUGCACACCAGGUGGCCUUGUUGAUGAGCUAACUGGGACCCUCUUUCAGACUGUUGCCUCUCUACUCUGAAUAACCUGAAGACUGUGCUCUUUAAUGCCACCCUGUUGGUUGCACAAGGUACAGCGCCCAGGAUUGGGGCUGUUCAUACCUCUCCAGCAACACGUGGACUCCCACAAGAGCUUGUCAUGAAUAC
Molecule: long non-coding RNA, 382 nt
Organism: Perca flavescens (yellow perch)
Lineage: Eukaryota; Metazoa; Chordata; Actinopteri; Perciformes; Percidae
Exons: 5
Source: RefSeq, a predicted model, not a curated record